GAUGAACGCUAGCUCCAGGCUUAACACAUGCAAGUCGAGGGGUAACGAGAGGAAAGCUUGCUUUCCUUGUCGACGACCGGCGCACGGGUGAGUAACGCGUAUCCAACCUGCCCCCAACUAGGGAAUAACCCUGCGAAAGUAAGACUAAUACCCUAUAAUUUCCUCAGAUGUCAUCUGACGAGGAAUAAAGAUUUAUCGGUUGUGGAUGGGGAUGCGUCUGAUUAGCUUGUUGGCGGGGUAACGGCCCACCAAGGCAACGAUCAGUAGGGGUUCUGAGAGGAAGGUCCCCCACAUUGGAACUGAGACACGGUCCAAACUCCUACGGGAGGCAGCAGUGAGGAAUAUUGGUCAAUGGGCGGAAGCCUGAACCAGCCAAGUAGCGUGCAGGAUGACGGCCCUAUGGGUUGUAAACUGCUUUUAUACAGGAAUAAAGUUAGCCACGUGUGGUUAUUUGUAGGUACUGUAUGAAUAAGGACCGGCUAAUUCCGUGCCAGCAGCCGCCGUAA
Molecule: ribosomal RNA, 506 nt
Filed under: uncultured bacterium
Lineage: Bacteria
Description: partial 16S ribosomal RNA
Rfam family: Bacterial small subunit ribosomal RNA
Source: RNAcentral